GACGAACGCUGGCGGCGCGCCUAACACAUGCAAGUCGAACGAGCGAGAGAGAGCUUACUUUCUCGAGCGAGUGGCGAACGGGUGAGUAACGCGUGAGGAACCUGCCUCAAAGAGGGGGACAACAGUUGGAAACGACUGCUAAUACCGCAUAAGCCCACGGCUCGGCAUCGAGCAGAGGGAAAAGGAGCAAUCCGCUUUGAGAUGGCCUCGCGUCCGAUUAGCUAGUUGGUGAGGUAACGGCCCGCCAAGGCGACGAUCGGUAGCCGGACUGAGAGGUUGAACGGCCACAUUGGGACUGAGACACGGCCCAGACUCCUACGGGAGGCAGCAGUGGGGAAUAUUGCACAAUGGGGGAAACCCUGAUGCAGCGACGCCGCGUGGAGGAAGAAGGUCUUCGGAUUGUAAACUCCUGUUGUUGAGGAAGAUAAUGACGGUACUCAACAAGGAAGUGACGGCUAACUACGUGCCAGCAGCCGCGGUAAAACGUAGGUCACAAGCGUUGUCCGGAAUUACUGGGUGUAAAGGGAGCGCAGGCGGGAAGACAAGUUGGAAGUGAAAUCCAUGGGCUCAACCCAUGAACUGCUUUCAAAACUGUUUUUCUUGAGUAGUGCAGAGGUAGGCGGAAUUCCCGGUGUAGCGGUGGAAUGCGUAGAUAUCGGGAGGAAGACCAGUGGCGAAGGCGGCCUACUGGGCACCAACUGACGCUGAGGCUCGAAAGUGUGGGUAGCAAACAGGAUUAGAUACCCUGGUAGUCCACACUGUAAACGAUGAUUACUAGGUGUUGGAGGAUUGACCCCUUCAGUGCCGCAGUUAACACAAUAAGUAAUCCACCUGGGGAGUACGACCGCAAGGUUGAAACUCAAAGGAAUUGACGGGGGCCCGCACAAGCAGUGGAGUAUGUGGUUUAAUUCGACGCAACGCGAAGAACCUUACCAAGUCUUGACAUCCUGCGACGCACAUAGAAAUAUGUGUUUCCUUCGGGACGCAGAGACAGGUGGUGCAUGGUUGUCGUCAGCUCGUGUCGUGAGAUGUUGGGUUAAGUCCCGCAACGAGCGCAACCCUUAUGGUCAGUUACUACGCAAGAGGACUCUGGCCAGACUGCCGUUGACAAAACGGAGGAAGGUGGGGAUGACGUCAAAUCAUCAUGCCCUUUAUGACUUGGGCUACACACGUACUACAAUGGCGUUAAACAAAGAGAAGCAAGACCGCGAGGUGGAGCAAAACUCAGAAACAACGUCCCAGUUCGGACUGCAGGCUGCAACUCGCCUGCACGAAGUCGGAAUUGCUAGUAAUCGCAGAUCAGCAUGCUGCGGUGAAUACGUUCCCGGGCCU
RNAcentral lists this ribosomal RNA (1332 nucleotides) under uncultured bacterium. RNAcentral describes it as "bacterial SSU rRNA". It matches the Rfam family "Bacterial small subunit ribosomal RNA", at positions 28 to 1381 of the family's 1533-position model. The record is from RNAcentral.